UUUGAUUAGUUUUUCUUUUAGUGUAAUACCUCUCUGCUGAUUUUCAUUGUUGUUUUUUAUUUCCUCUUCAUAGACUAUUUUGCCAAAGAUGUUCUGUAGUGCAGGUUUUCUAAUUGUAAAUUCUUUGAACUUUUGUUUAUCAUGGAAGGUUUUUAUUUCAUCAUCAAAUCUAAAGCUUGAUUUUGCUGGAUACAAGAUUCUUGGUUGGCAUUUAUUUUCUCAAAGCUUGAUUUUGUUCCAGGAUCUUCUAGCUAUCAGGGUCUUGGUUAAAAAAUUUGUCCACAACCUAAAUGGUUUCCUUGUAUAUGCAAUCUGAGUAUUUUCUCUUGUGGAUUUUAAUACUCUCUCCUUAUUUGGUAUGUUAGGCAUUUUUCAUUAUAAUGUGCCUUGGUGUGGAUCUCUUGUGAUUUUGUACAUUUGGCAUCCUAUAAGCCUCUUGGAUUUGGUUUUCCAAUUCAUUCUUCAUGUUUAGAAAUUUUUAUGAUAUUAUUUCAUUGAAUAGAUUGUUCAUUCCUUUGGUUUGGAACUCUAUACCUUCCUCUAUCCCAAUAACUCUUAAAUUUGGUCUUUUUAUACUAUUCCAUAUUUCUUGAAUGUUCUACUCAUUUUUUUAAAACCAUUUUCACUGUGUGGUCUACAUUCUUUUCAAGAUUAUAUAUUUGGUCUUCAUUGUCUGAGGUCCUGUCUUCCAAGUGGUCUAAUCUGUUGAUGAUGCUUUCAAUUGAACUUUUAAUUUGAUUUAUUAUUUCUUUCAUGUCAAGGAUUUCUGUUUGGUAUUUCUUUAGAACCUCUAUCUCCCUAUUUAAGUAAUCUUUUGCUUCUUGUAUUUGUUUAUGUAGUUCUUUGUUGAAAUGAUUUUUUGCUGCCUGUGUUUGCACUCUUAUAUCAUACUUUAAUUCACAGAGUAUUUUAAUUAUGUAUAUCCUAAACUCCUUCUCUCUCAUUUCAUCUGCUGUGCUGGCCAUGGAUUCUAAUAAUGUGGUAUCUUUAUUUGUUUGGAGCACUUUCCUCCCUUGUCUUUUCAUGUUGCUCAUGUGUCUUCCCUUCUAGCAUUGUGGAUCCAAGGCAUUACCAUUUGUACCCUAUAGGCUUAUAGUGCCCCUGUAGGGUUCCAAUAUCUCUCCUUUGAGGAGUAAGACAAUGUUAACAGAUCCCAAUAAAAAUAAUAUACCACAUAAAACAACUUGUUGUCAAUAGACAUUUACAGUUUAGUCACAAGGUACAGAGAUGGUGAAUUCAAUUAUUAGCUAGAAUAUUAUCAGUAGGUUUGUAAAAGGGUUUACAGUUUCUGAUGGUGGACAAAGACUGGGGGUGAGGUGUAGGAAGAUAUUCUGAGGAGGUAGGAGGUGAAGAUAUAGAGUUAUUAUAUAUUAGGAAGUGUGAGAGAGAAAUCUAAAGAAGAAAGUCAGUAGCAGGAGAAUAGAAAGAAAGUAAUUUUGUGUAGACAAGUAAGAGGGAAGACAGUAGAGUGCAUAAAACAAACACAUAUGUACAAAGAAAAAUAAAAAAUGUUAAAAUUGUAAAAAUUGGAGGAAAAGAAACAAAAAUAAAAGAAUAUACAACACAACUGUAAUAUACUAUUCAGUUGUCUCAGACCUCAAUAUCCUAAUUCAUGCAAAGUACUUGGUUUCACAUAUGUUGGGGAUGUGAGGGCGGGA
This 1658-nucleotide long non-coding RNA is filed under the name Marmota monax (woodchuck). Lineage: Eukaryota; Metazoa; Chordata; Mammalia; Rodentia; Sciuridae. The record is from RNAcentral.